Molecule: ribosomal RNA, 497 nt
Filed under: uncultured bacterium
Lineage: Bacteria
Description: partial 16S ribosomal RNA
Rfam family: Bacterial small subunit ribosomal RNA
Source: RNAcentral
GAUGAACGCUGGCGGCGUGCCUAACACAUGCAAGUCGAGCGAACAAAGGAGGAACUUGCUCCUCUGACGCUAGCGACGGAUGGGUGAGCCACACGAAGAUGACCCACAUAUAAGACUUAUGUCCCCCCGCGAACCCGGAGCCAAUAUCCGUUAAUAUAUUGAAACGCAUGGUUCAUUGGCCCACGAGCGGUUUGCUGACACUAAUAGAUGGAUCCGCGUCGGAUUAGCUAGUUGGUAAGGUAACGGCUUACCAAGGCAACGAUGCGUAGCCGAUCUGAGAGGGUGAUCAGACACACUGGAACUGAGACACGGUCCAGACUCCUACGGGAGGCAGCAGUAGGGAAUCUUGAGCAAUGGGCGAAAGCCUGACGGAGCAACGCCGCGUGGGUGAUGAAGGUCUUCGGAUCGUAAAACUCUGUUAUUAGGGAAGAACAGCUGUGUAUUUAUCCAUGCCCGUCUUGACGGUACCAACUCAGAAAGCCACGGCUAACUACGUG